Non-coding RNA from Salmo salar (Atlantic salmon), 2074 nucleotides. The record is from RefSeq and is a predicted model, not a curated record. NCBI's taxonomy places the organism in Eukaryota, Metazoa, Chordata, Actinopteri, Salmoniformes, Salmonidae.
GCUGUAACGCAAAUUUAUUUUGGAAUAAGUCAAGGGGUAUGAAUCAUUUCUGAAGGCACUGUAUAUCGUCAGUUAUGUGUCCAAUAAUGUUGGCCUAUGUGGUUGUGUCCCUUGUCACUCCUGCUACAUUACAGCAGUGAUCCACUAAAUGGAUAGCCAAGCUAGCUUCACCCUCUUGUCGGUACUAGCAAGCACGCUAGGUAGUGCUAGGUAUCAACAGUCAAUCUAGUAGGUGCUGGAAACUAUAGUGAGCUUCCAUUGGUCAAUAGCAACGCGAUGUAGCGGAGAACAACUUUAGUCCACUCUUUCGCCCAUGCUUGCAUCGACCAAUGGUCUUCCGCCCACGUCCCUUCUUUUAAUUGAAAAUGAAUCGGGUUCCGUUGUUUCAUAGCCCCCAGCGUGUUAAAUCAAACCAAAUGCUAGAUGUAUUUCUGCUGUUAGGUUAGUCGCUUGUCAACAUGGUAUAACUAUUAGCUAACUUAUGUACAGUAGCUAGUUAACAUUUUCAGUUAACAGUAGGCAUCAGGGAAGAGUAACUGUUGACCCAGUGUCCCCCAGUCCUGUCUUACCAUCUCCAACCAUAGGUGCGGAAUGAUAGGAGUUGGCAAGACAACACAAACAGAUCUGGAGCCAGGCAAUGUUGUGCCAUUUCAAACUAUCUUCCUACAAAUAUAUCUAUGUGGUGCAAUAACAGAACCAAUUGGUGUGCCUGAGUCUUAUCACCGUUCAACUAGGUUAGCUGUUUCAACCUGGAACAUUAUUCUCCUGCUUUGGUCAGUUGUCAUUGCAGGAAGUCCUGAAGAGCAGGAGUGUGUGUUAAAUGUUUUGUUCCAGCCCAGCUCUAACACCUGACUUAAAUAAUCAACCUGCCGAAUUACGACAAUAGGCUAUGAUUUUUAUUAAGGACAAGCUUAUACACACUCAUCCCAAGGGUCCCAGUAUAUAUACACACUCAAGUCUCCAAUGGUCCCAGUACUGGUUGAUGUGCAGGCCUAGGUGACCACACACAAACGGAUCUACAGCUGUGACACGUGACGACCUCGAUUUGAACACCGCAACUGAGAUGGAAUGACGUUGAUGGACACACACUGAGACCACGAGUAUGACUGGACAUGGGACGGAUUUUUGUGAAGACCUAAAAGGGGUGCAAAAGCACACCAACUUAUUUUUAUUCCGUGGCCAACCAUCUCAGGCUGAAAGCCUCAGCCUAAUGGGUUUACAACUGACAAUUUCUCAUUAGAUAUUGCCUCUUACACAGAUCACAGGUUAGGGUAUAUAUUCCAUGUCAGACUUUUCAAGGCCACCCUGAAGAUUGCCAGGGAAAGCUGUUUCUUGUACAUACAUUAAAAUUGUAAAAUGCAAAAACCUUUUAGUAAUAUUAGUAUUCUUGAGAGAAUAACAUAAAAUCCCACUUUUGUAUGUCCAAUAGGUUAUGAAAAGUAUCAACAAUUUAACAUGACCUUAUGGUGACAUUUAAUGAAGUGAGAUGAUUGGAUUAUUAUUUACAUUCAAGUUCUCUUUGUACACAUACAAUGGCUUGAAAAAUCAACCCCAAUAUGAAUGAAGAAAAGAUCCAUGGAAGGGUGAACCAAAGGGGGUUGGUUGUAUCUACACAGUAAAAAACAUACAUUUGGCUUUCUAUUCGUGCAUAUAUAUUCUGUGCUCAUAAACUGAGCUCAUAUCUCCCAUGGUCUUAAUAACUUAAAUAGAUAAAGUUUUGACCAGUUCAAAUCCAGGCUGAAACUCCCCCUAAAAGAGUCUUUAUCAACAGGAUCAUAUUGCCCUAUCAGAUUAGAAUGUUGUUUAAACAAGAGUAAAACUAGGUUAAAUGAGACCUAUUCUUAGUUUGAGGAACAGCACUUCAUGUAAGUCCAUCUUUCGUGAAGUAUUAGCUGCACUAUCUGCUGUACGGAAACUAUUCCACAAUGGGUGGGACCACAUUCACUGAACAAAAAUAUAAACACAACGUGUGUUGGUCCCAUGUUUCAUGAGCUGAAAUAAGAGAUCCCAGAAAUUGUCCAUGCGCACAAAGCUUAUUUCUCUCAAAUGUUGUGCACAGAUUUGUUUACAUCCC